RNAcentral lists this long non-coding RNA (1134 nucleotides) under Homo sapiens (human). RNAcentral's name for it is "HSALNT0369783". Lineage: Eukaryota; Metazoa; Chordata; Mammalia; Primates; Hominidae. The record is from RNAcentral.
UGCUCACUAUGAGUAACAAGUUAAGAAAAUGCGCUCACUUGGGGAAAGUAGGAAGAAAGCUUGAGGAGAUGAGCGAAGAAGGGCAGAUGAGUGAAGAAGGGUCAGAUAGAAGAUGCAGGCAGGAAGGAAGCUUGUCAGUGGUCGGAGGAGGACCAGGUGAGUGUGUCACUGAGGAGGCCAAGAAAGUUGAAAUUUUCAAGAUGAGAGAGAAUGGUCAAUGGCGGCCAGUGUCACAAAGAAUCCAAGUAAGGGAAGACCAGAAACAUGUCCACAGGAUUUGGCAGGUGAGCCUUGCCACAGCAAUUUCAGCUAAGUAAUGAGAACAGAAGCCUGGCUGAGAGAGAUUAAGAACGGACUUUACUGGAAGGUAAUUGAAAGCUUGGAAAGCAAAACCCUGGAUAAGAGGGACCUACUGCUCACAGUCUCUCCAGGGACCUUAUGUCAAAUCUGAGAGGGGAGAAGAAAUGUAUGAAGACAGAACCAUUUUAUGGAGCAUGGGGCUCUGCCAGGCGCAGCUAUAGAUGUUAUCACAUCCAUCUUCUCAGCCACCCUGUGAAGGAGUUAUCAGCAGGCCCAUGCAGACAAAGAAAUUGAGGAAGAUUCAGUGAUUCGCUCCAGGUCAGCAGCUGAAAUUUCAGAAGAGGAAAAGAAUCUGGAAACAGAAUCUCUGAAUCUCUGACCGUCUAAUGCUGCAGGUUUUGGAAGGCUGCCAACGUGCUCAAGGAGCCAUGGAGAAAAUAAGUGCUGUCCCUUCAAAGAAACGUCUUUCAGAAAGGAAAAAAAAAAAAAAAAAAAAAAAAUCCCAUGAACGGCCUUCUUUCUCUAGAAGACUGGAGGGAUUUUUCCCUCAGGUCAAUGACCAUCACAUAACUGAUCAUAUUUUCGUUUUUGUUUUGGCCCGUGGCAAGCAUAGAAUCAAAUUUACAGCUCAAUUUUAUUAACCUCAUAGGACACUCUAGUCUAAAUAUUUAUUCUAGCUUUUGACAUGGCCUUUCCUUUUUAUGUUUAUAUAUUCCUAGGUACCAAUUUUCAACUGUUUUAUACUGUACUAGCUUGUAGAUUAUGUAUGCUUGCUGACAAACUCAGUUCCUAUGUAACCAAUAGACAAAAUAAAUAAUUACUUCAAUAAAUAAA